AUUGCCCUAGUAACGGCGAGUGAAGCGGCAUCAGCUCAAAUUUGAAAUCUGGCUCUUUCAGAGUCCGAGUUGUAAUUUGCAGAGGGCGCUUUGGUGUCGGCAGCGGUCCAAGUUCCUUGGAACAGGACGUCACAGAGGGUGAGAAUCCCGUACGUGGUCGCUGACCUACACCGUGUAAAGCCCCUUCGACGAGUCGAGUUGUUUGGGAAUGCAGCUCUAAAUGGGAGGUAAAUUUCUUCUAAAGCUAAAUACUGGCCAGAGACCGAUAGCGCACAAGUAGAGUGAUCGAAAGAUGAAAAGCACUUUGGAAAGAGAGUCAAACAGCACGUGAAAUUGUUGAAAGGGAAGCGCUUGCAGCCAGACUUGCUUGUAGUUGCUCAUCCGGGCUUUUGCCCGGUGCACUCUUCUGCGAGCAGGCCAGCAUCAGUUUGGGCGGUUGGAUAAAGGCCUCUGUCACGUACCUUCUCUCGGGAAGGCCUUAUAGGGGAGGCGUCAUGCAACCAGCCUGGACUGAGGUCCGCGCAUCUGCUAGGAUGCUGGCGUAAUGGCUGUAAGCGGCCCGUCUUGAAACACGGACCAAGGAGUCUAACAUCUAUGCGAGUGUUUGGGUGUCAAGCCCGAGCGCGCAAUGAAAGUGAACGGAGGUGGGAUCCCGCAAGGGUGCACCAUCGACCGAUCCUGAAGUCUUCGGAUGGAUUUGAGUAAGAGCAUGGCUGUUGGGACCCGAAAGAUGGUGAACUAUGCUUGAAUAGGGUGAAGCCAGAGGAAACUCUGGUGGAGGCUCGCAGCGGUUCUGACGUGCAAAUCGAUCGUCAAAUUUGGGCAUAGGGGCGAAAGACUAAUCGAACUAUCUAGUAGCUGGUUCCUGCCGAAGUUUCCCUCAGGAUAGCAGUAACG
RNAcentral lists this ribosomal RNA (897 nucleotides) under Pyrenochaetopsis sp. Its description in RNAcentral is "partial large subunit ribosomal RNA". It matches the Rfam family "Eukaryotic large subunit ribosomal RNA", at positions 74 to 989 of the family's 3401-position model. The record is from RNAcentral. Lineage: Eukaryota; Fungi; Ascomycota; Dothideomycetes; Pleosporales; Pyrenochaetopsidaceae.